Molecule: long non-coding RNA, 1115 nt
Organism: Rosa rugosa (rugosa rose)
Lineage: Eukaryota; Viridiplantae; Streptophyta; Magnoliopsida; Rosales; Rosaceae
Exons: 2
Source: RefSeq, a predicted model, not a curated record
UCAUCCAUCUCAUCUUCUUUGUCUCUCCAUCUCCUCUCCAUUUUCCUUAGUUCUUAGUUACAUUCCUUCAUCCAUCUCAUCUUCUUUGUCUCUCCAUUUUCCUCUCCAUUCUCUAGUUCUUAUUGAUAUUCCUUCAUCCAUCUCAUCUUCUUUGUCUCUCCAUUUCCUCUCCAUUUUUCUAGUUCUUAGAUAUAUUCCUUCAUCCAUCUCAUCUUCUUUGUCUCUCCAUCUCCUCUCCAUUUUCCUUAGUUCUUAGUUACAUUCCUUCAUCCAUCUCAUCUUCUUUGUCUCUCCAUUUCCUCUCCAUUUUUCUAGUUCUUAGAUAUAUUCCUUCAUCCAUUUCAUCUUCUUUGUCUCUCCAUCUCCUAGUUCUUAGUUUCAUUUCUUUUCCAUUCUCUAGUUGCAAGUUCCGCGUUUUCAAGCAAAGAGAGGAAGAAGAAGAAGGAGCCGUGAAGACAUAGCCUCCAUCAUCCACCUUGAAGACUUGCUUUCAAGAUUCAAAAUUCCAACGUUCAAGCUCGCCAUCUCCAUCUCCCCUCACAGUGUGUACCCUCAAUCCCCGGUUAGAACGAUCCCUACUUAUUCUAUACUAACGAUGACAUUUUACAGGGUUAAAUUGCGCGCUUACUUUGAGCGUAUCAACCUAUCUUCGGGUUGCUUGUUUAUUAGUAGUGAUUUUAUUAUAAUGAGAAACAAUAUUUUGGCAAUCAUUUCUAAUUGUAAAUAUUUCAUUAUGUAAGAAUAAAGAAAAUGCUUCUAGAGAAUAUGAAAUCUUGUUUUUUCUGCAGGAUGAGAAAAUGUACUAUGAUAGAUGACUCCUAUACCAGGCUGAGGAUGAGCUAUAAGAUUAAAAAUAAAAUUUUGGAUAGCUACUUGAAUGGAAAGAUAGAAAUCAGGUUUUUGGCAAAUUAGAUUAGCUGAAGAAUCAAUAGAAUGGACAGCCUUCACUUGUCCAGAAUGACACUUUUAAUGGUUAGUCAUGCCAUUUGGAUCGAAAAGAUUUUUGGCCUCAUAUGUCAUGUAUAACAGCCUUUGUUUUCUAUUGCAUGUGUAUUUGUUCUUUAGCCACAUGUGUAUACAGAUUUCUAGUUCUAUGCAUGAAGCCUUAUAUUGUA